CUAAGUAGUAGCGCCAACGGUGA
This 23-nucleotide microRNA is filed under the name Acyrthosiphon pisum (pea aphid). RNAcentral describes it as "api-miR-252b". Its record names the gene api-miR-252b. The record is from miRBase by way of RNAcentral. Lineage: Eukaryota; Metazoa; Arthropoda; Insecta; Hemiptera; Aphididae.